RNA transcript from Pipra filicauda (Wire-tailed manakin), 6183 nucleotides. It is a transcript of the gene named DnaJ heat shock protein family (Hsp40) member C1, with no coding region annotated. The record is from RefSeq and is a predicted model, not a curated record. The transcript has 15 exons. Lineage: Eukaryota; Metazoa; Chordata; Aves; Passeriformes; Pipridae.
CCCGCGGAGCCGCCGCUGCCGGGGCCGGGCCGGGCCUGGCGCGUCCCCUCAGUGCGGAGCGGCUGCCGCGGCGAGCGCGGCCUGCGCGCAGCGUCCUGGGCGAGUCCCCACUCCGGCACCGCUGCGGUGCCGAAACCGCCGGCGGCAUCAUGGCCCGCACGCGGCCCGCACCGCGCCCGCGGCUGCUGCCGCUCCUCGCGCUGCUGGCGCUGCUGGCGCCCCGCGCCCGCGCCUGGGACAGCGGCGACCUGGAGCUCUUCGACCUGGUGGAAGAGGUGCCGCGGAACUUCUACGACUUUCUGGGGGUUCAGCAGGAUGCUUCAUCUGCAGACAUUCGGAAAGCAUAUCGAAAGCUUUCACUGGUUUUACACCCAGAUAAGAAUAAAGAUGAAAAUGCGGAAACACAGUUUAGGCAAUUGGUGGCCAUCUAUGAGGUUUUAAAGGAUGAAGAAAGGAGGCAGACGUAUGAUGAUAUUCUGAUCAAUGGACUACCAGAUUGGCGACAGCCUGUGUUCUACUACAGGCGGGUGAGAAAAAUGAGCAAUGCUGAGCUGGCAUUACUCUUGUUCAUUAUACUCACAGUGGGUCAUUAUGCUGUGGUUUGGUCAAUCUACCUGGAAAAACAGCUGGAUGAACUGCUUAGCAGAAAAAAGAGGGAGAAGAAGAAAAAAACAGGCGUCAGGAGUACAGAUGAAGCCAAACUCGCUGCUCUAGACAAAAAUGAAAGAAUACUGGACAAACCACAAUGGCAUGACUUACUUCCAUGCAAGCUGGGAAUAUGGUUUUGUCUCACAGUGAAAGCUUUACCUCAGCUAUUCCAGGAUGCCAGACAAUUAUAUGUAGAAUAUAAAGAAACAAAAAUGAAGGCGAAAGAAGAUGCCCUGGCUAAGGCUGAACUUGAAACACUUCAGAAGGAGAAGAAACCUAAAGUCAAGAAACCGAAAUUAGAAUUCCCUGUGUACAUGGCUCUGGAAUCAAACACAUAUAUACCAUCAUAUGAUCAUGGAGCUUCAAUUGAAGAGAUUGAGGAACAGAUGGAUGAUUGGCUGGGAGGCAGGAACAGGACACAAAAAAAGAAGGCACCUGAAUGGACAGAGGAGGACCUAAGCCAGCUGACAAGAAGUAUGGUUAAGUUCCCAGGGGGGACCCCCGGUCGAUGGGAAAAGAUUGCUCACGAAUUGGGUCGAUCAGUGGCAGAUGUUACCAUGAAAGCCAAACAACUGAAGGAUUCUGUUACAUAUACACCAGGUACCAUUAGGCUCUCCGAGCUAAAAACGCUGGCCCAUUCCAAAAAUGUCAAAGUCAACGUGAAUUUGCCAGAUCACAUAAUCACCCAGCGAGAAAGAGAGGAGGAAGAGGAGGAGGAGGGAAACUACUAUCAUAUACGAGAGCAGAUGGAUGUCCAGACAGAUCCAAAGGAGACCAUUGGAAGUGAAACCAGACACCGCAAACGCAGAAUUGUCAAAGCACCUGAAGUGGCUCUGCUGGCACUGGAAGAGAAGGGCAGAGGGAGACGGCAGAGAGAUUUUGAUAACACUGACCAAGAGGAGGAGAGUGAUGAUGAGAUCAGAAGAAGAGAGAAAAGCUGUGCCCCAGAAGAACUGUGGACUCAAAACCAACAGAAACUUCUUGAAAUGGCCUUGCAGCAGUAUCCAAAGGGAACAUCAGAUCGCUGGGAUAAAAUAGCAAAAUGUGUUCCUGGAAAAAGCAAGGAGGAGUGUAUAGCAAGAUACAAGUUGCUUGUUGAGCUGGUACAAAAGAAAAGAAUGGCUAAAAGCUGAAUGUGAAUGAAGGUGUGUUUGUAUCGAAGAGCUGCUUAUGCAGAUGUGUGAUAACGUCUUAAAAAUGAGUGGACCUGUAGGAAAACCCCCUCUGACAAUCACACACUGAAACUGCUCUAAAGCCAUGACCAUAAAUAUCUUAUUCUUAUCUGGUCAUAUUUUGAAAAGCAAGCAAAUAACAGGAGAGUUUGGCCUGUGAGAAAAGAGUCAUCUUUCCUUUCCACUCUGGAUUUACAAGACUUUGCCUGGAAUGGUGUGCCCGGUUCAGUACAUCACACUUCAAGGAAGAUGCAGAGCAUCCAGAAGGGAGCAGAGGGAAUGAUCCAGUGUCUGCAAUGCCUGACUUGGUGGGAAGGACAGAAGGAAUUCUUGCUAUUUGCUCUACACUAGAGAGAAUCUUCCAAGUAUGUAAAAGGGAACUUUGCAUUUGUGUGAUCUCUGUGUUUCCCUGUUACAUGUCUGUGGUGGCUCUGAAGAAUAAUAAUGGGCUGACUCCGUUUGGAGUGAGAAUUAGCUUAGUUAGGUGUUGAGGCAAAAAAAAUCCAGUGGCAAAUGCAAUAAGGACUUGGGAGGACUUUGGAUUUCCAGCAAUAAAGAUAUCAAAGACUUACCUGAGUACCUGCUCCAGACCUGCCCAUAUCCCUGCUGUGUAUGGGGCAGUGGUUACACACUGCCUGCCCAACACAUUCAGCUUCUCUCCACCCCACACUUUCUGCAUGGGGGUCUAAGGAAGAAGAAGGACAAGAACUGCUGACUGCUAAGAAUUUUUUUGAGUUUAAGAAAUUCACAUUGAGAAACCUAAAGCAGUACUCCUGACAAAUCCAGUUUACUCGAAGGAAGAUUUUUAAGGAUGGGCAAAGAUUGUACAUGCCCUUCUGUCACACUUGCCAGUUUGAGCACCUGAAGUGCUGGAUGUCUCCUCUUGCCUGGAGAGAAGGGAGUUGAUGGAUUGCAUCCUUAUUGCUUGAAGUAACAACCUGCCUGAAAGUAGAGGGAAGUUGGCUGUGUCAGAGAAAUGCAUUGGCCUUUUCUGCAGUGGCACUGCUCCGGGAAUUGGUGACAGGGGCAACUCAGCAUCAAGAACCGGGAAGGUUUUGCAUAGCACUGCUGGGUCAUUUGGAACUGAAGGUCUUGGGAUGGGGAAUGUGAGUCAGUGUCCUGCAUCAGUGGAUCUGAUCUCUGCCACCAGAUGCCCAGAGAUAUCCAGCUGGGAGGCAGAACACGGAAUGAGGUACUGGCAGCUUCAUCCAGGGCCCAUCCAGUCUUAUUGUCAUGUUCAGUUCCUCAAGGGCCAAAGGAGCUGGCCCAGCCUUAGCUUCAGCUUUGGUGUUUGGUGGGGGGAGGAAGGUGGCAUGGCUGAGACUCCAAGACUUUGAGGGCCUCUCAAGAGCCUCUCCUGAGGGUGCCACAUGUUUUCUGGAUGAUGAAACACCUGGCCCUAACAGCAGUGGCUCUAGUCUGUGGUGACUGAGGUCAGACAUGAUGCUCACUAGAGAAGAAGAAAACUGUAGCCAGGGCUUGUUUCUAUCCAUGGAAACCAAGGUGACUCAAGGCUUGGGAGUUAAGCAACUUCUUCCAACUUUUGUUCUAGCACAAAAUGCAGAUUUCCUUAAGUAAUGUUAAUAUUUGCCUUCAAACAAAAUACGUUUUCUUUCCUGGGCAGUUGGGAGCUGUAGCUUGAUGGUGCUUUUUACACUGAAACUUUGUGUUCAGUCUCAGAGACAGUCUGUGCUGUAGCUUCUGUUCUCUAAGUCAGAUCUGAGCCUACUUUUGAGUGUCUUUGCAUGUCCCUCUUGAUGGGACAGGCAGAAUGCUGUGGAAAGGGGUAUUUGGUGCACAUGACCCAGGGAGGGCAAUAUUCCUGUGCUGAGGAUACAGUCCAAUGCCAGGCUAAAGCAUCAGAAUUUUGUAAAAUUACAGCCCAUCAACCAUACACAAGUGAAUGAGUAGAACAUGAGUGAGAUGCUGUGAAGGUUAACAGUGCUCUCAUUUAGGCUGUUUAGCUCUAGAGGAAAGACCAACAGAUGCUGUUCUGCAGUGUCUUCUUGCAAACCUAAAUGUUUGGACUACAUUACAUUCAACUUUACAGCUCUAAGUAUAUGUAAGUAUAUGAACUAAUUUAAAAAAAAAAAGAUGUUUCAGAAAAAUUUUGCAAUGUGACUUCUCUGUGAGAUGAUGGGGUCUGAAAACAACAGGAACACUGCGUGACUUGAGCUCUCCUUUAGGCAGAACCAACAGCAAGAUUUUAGUGCAGUGUAUGAAAAACAGGCACCAGAAAGUCGGUCAGUUCAUGUCUAAAGUGCUGUUGCUGAAAGAGUAGCUCCUGCUAAAACAGCUUGAAUGGAUAAAGUUGAUAAAACCAGGAUUUAAUAUGUCAAAGGCUGUCCAGAAUUAGUUGGCUUCUCUAAGCCGUAAGGGAUAUUAUCAUUGCUGUCAGUAAAGUGGGAUUUUGGUGAAAAACCUUCUGAAAUGCAGGGCAUUUAGUCUGUGCUGCUUAUGAGACUGAGCCCAGAGCAGCUCCCAACACAUGUGAGGGGAGCUCAGUAAUCAGGCAACUUGGCUGCCAGGGACCUGUGGAGUGGCUUGGGCUGCUCUGGCAUCCAAGGCAUCCCACAGGGACAGCAGUAUCGGCUUUACUGAACUGGUGCCAAAUCAGCCACAGACCAUCAUCUUUGAUGUCAGGAUCUGCAAAAUCAUUGAAACAAGGUUGGUUUUGACUACAUCUGGCCCUCAUGUGAACUUGGCUUUGAUGUGCUCUUUCUUUAAAGGGCUGCUGAACUGGAUUUUUGUUUGGAUGUCAGAACUGUCCUUUUCAUUUCCUUGCUGUUGCCUGUUGGUCCACCAGGACCAUGGUACUGUGAAACAGCCACUGCUAUCCUGGGCUGCUGGCACCAAUCUCUUCUGACAACUUCACCGGUAUUUCUAACUUUGUCUCUUCGUAUUUCUCUACAUCUUGGCAGAAGACAGGUCCCAGAGUUUAGGCACUCCCUCUCCAAUACAAGAAACACACAUGGAAAGGCAGGACUUAUCACUUUUACUGGUUUCUAUCGUAUUGUUCCAACAGGAGCAGGGCAAUUUACUGAUACUCGUCUAACAUAAAAACUUUUUGGCUUUGGCUUAUAUCCAAGAAUAAAGCAGCAGUCCCUGCAUCCAGCAGAAGGGACACCCAGGAUUCCCUGGUGGCCUUGUGCUGGCAGCAGGGUCGUACAGGGCUUUUCUUCCCCUUCCUCUCCAUGUCUGGCAGUGCCAAGUAUAACUCCAGGGCCCGGCCUACAGGUGCUCCGUGGUCUCCCUGCUCAGCACUGGCCAACAGUCAGUGCUCAACAGAGCCAGAAUACUGACAGAAUAUAGACCCAGGUCUAGAGCUCAUCUACACCGUGCACAGGUUAAUCAGUAGAAAUGGUUAAGUCUUCCAAACCUCUUCACCUCAGAGCAUAAACCAGUCAUCAAGUACCCCCAGAACAGAGGGAAUUUUUUCUAGCCCUGAUGGCCAAGGCACCAUUAAGAAGGUUGGGGUGGGGAGGGGAGUAGUACAUUCCCCCUUCACCAUGCCAAACAGUGUUUCACAUUCCCCUCCUGCUACUGCUGAGCUUGCCCAUUUACCAGUCUUCUUUCAGGACUCUGGUUUUCCCCAUUGGAAAAUGAAAAUAUUCAGUACUCAGAACUUGAGCAGAUGGAACAACAUACAAAUAGCACAGGCCUAUGGCAACACCAUCUUCCUGCUCCUUGUCCCAGAAGCUGCUCUCAGCCUGAGGCUCCCCCUCAUUAGCAAGGGGCUAAAAAUUGUGAGGAAGCCAUAAUGCAUCUCUUGUCUGCCAAAACCUGGACUGCAACCAGCCUCACGUUUUAUUUUCAAAUGACAGUAUGGGAAGGGUCAAAUUCUCUUUGCUGCCAGGGAAAUAAAAGACCAGGUGUCCCUUCUGUGGACAGUAAGCAAAAUUCAUGGAAAAAACCACUGAGCUGCUUUUAUAGAAAGUACAGUGCAAAGGUUACAGCAACAACCUUGGCCUCCAUCACCUGAGCCCCAGCACAGUGCAGAUAAAGAACCCAUCCCAUCCCCACAGAGCUCUCACUGAGUCACUUCAAAACAAACUGGGCCCAUUGGACAAGAGCCACUGCAAUUCCAGUCAUUUCUCUUUGAAGGGUGGAAGCAAAAAACUGACAUCAGACCCAGGGCUGCAACUGGGCAUUUCUGUUCUGUAAGCAGAACCAUCCCUGGACAGUUUUGCAGCUGCAUCAGUGUCUCUUGAAAGCAAAAAUUUACAUGAGCAACAUUUUUAAAAACUUGUUGUAAUAAAAUUUAGUGGCCACGUGCAAUUGAAAUCCUUCCUUUCUUGUGAUGUUAAUAGAAACACUCUGUUCUUCUACAAGAUUCACAUUCACGCAAACCACAUGCAAUGAU